GAGCUGUUGGGGGUGGCACAAGCUAGGGGGUAGCGACUGUUUACCAAAAACACAGGAGCGUGCGAAGGCGUAAGCCGCUGUAUACGCUCUGACGCCUGCCCGGUGCCGGAAGGUUAAGAGGAUCCGUUAGCUUCGGUGAAGCGGUGAAUUUAAGCCCCGGUAAACGGCGGUGGUAACUAUAACCAUCCUAAGGUAGCGAAAUUCCUUGUCGGGUAAGUUCCGACCUGCACGAAUGGCGUAACGACUUCCCCACUGUCUCGGCCAGGAGCCCGGCGAAAUUGCAGUACGAGUAAAGAUGCUCGUUAAGCGCAGAAGGACGAAAAGACCCCGGGACCUUUACUAUACCUUGGUAUUGUCGUUAGGUGUGGAUCGUGUAGCAUAGGCGGGAGGCUGUGAAGCGUGGGCGCUAGCUUGCGUGGAGUCGAUCAGUGAAAUACCGCUCUUUCCAUAUCUGGCGUCUAACCUCGACACGUUAUCCGUGUUAGGGACAGUGCCUGGCGGGUAGUUUAACUGGGGCGGUUGCCUCCUAAAGAGUAACGGAGGCGCUCAAUGGUCCGCUCAGCCCGGUUGGCAAUCGGGUGUUGAGUGUAAUCGCACAAGCGGGCUUGACUGUGAGACUGACGGGUCGAGCAGGGACGAAAGUCGGAGAUAGUGAUCCGGUGCCGGCGUACGGACGUGGCAUCGCUCAACGGAUAAAAGGUACCCCGGGGAUAACAGGCUGAUCAUUCCCAAGAGUCCAUAUCGACGGGAUGGUUUGGCACCUCGAUGUCGGCUCGUCGCAUCCUGGGGCUGGAGCAGGUCCCAAGGGUUCGGCUGUUCGCCGAUUAAAGCGGCACGCGAGCUGGGUUCAGAACGUCGUGAGACAGUUUGGUCUCUAUCCUCUGCGCUCGUUGGAAUGUUGAGGAGACCUGCCCAUAGUACGAGAGGACCUGGGUGGACGAACCUCUGGUAUGCCGGUCGUCACGCCAGUGGCGCUGCCGGUUAGCUACGUUUGGAAGGGAUAACCGCUGAAAGCAUCUAAGCGGGAAGCCUGCUCCAAGAUUAGCAUUCCUUGCACUUUGUGUGUGAGCCCCCAUGUAGAACACGUGGUUGAUAGGCUGGAUGUGGAAGCCCUGUAAGGGGUGGAGCUGACCAGUACUAAUGGGCGAUUGUGA
RNAcentral lists this ribosomal RNA (1154 nucleotides) under Gardnerella vaginalis. Its description in RNAcentral is "bacterial LSU rRNA". It matches the Rfam family "Bacterial large subunit ribosomal RNA", at positions 1764 to 2925 of the family's 2925-position model. Lineage: Bacteria; Bacillati; Actinomycetota; Actinomycetes; Bifidobacteriales; Bifidobacteriaceae. The record is from RNAcentral.